This 471-nucleotide ribosomal RNA is filed under the name Campylobacter jejuni. RNAcentral describes it as "partial 23S ribosomal RNA". It matches the Rfam family "Bacterial large subunit ribosomal RNA", at positions 1271 to 1735 of the family's 2925-position model. The record is from RNAcentral. Lineage: Bacteria; Pseudomonadati; Campylobacterota; Epsilonproteobacteria; Campylobacterales; Campylobacteraceae.
UGCUGGAGCGAAUAGAAGUGAGCAUGCAGGCAUGAGUAGCGAUAAUUAAUGUGAGAAUCAUUAACGCCGUAAACCCAAGGUUUCCUACGCGAUGCUCGUCAUCGUAGGGUUAGUCGGGUCCUAAGUCGAGUCCGAAAGGGGUAGACGAUGGCAAAUUGGUUAAUAUUCCAAUACCAACAUUAGUGUGCGAUGGAAGGACGCUUAGGGCUAAGGGGGCUAGCGGAUGGAAGUGCUAGUCUAAGGUCGUAGGAGGUUAUACAGGCAAAUCCGUAUAACAAUACUCCGAGAACUGAAAGGCUUUUUGAAGUCUUCGGAUGGAUAGAAGAACCCCUGAUGCCGUCGAGCCAAGAAAAGUUUCUAAGUUUAGCUAAUGUUGCCCGUACCGUAAACCGACACAGGUGGGUGGGAUGAGUAUUCUAAGGCGCGUGGAAGAACUCUCUUUAAGGAACUCUGCAAAAUAGCACCGUAUCU